GCUGCAGUAUUUUGACUGUACAAAGGUAGCAUAAUCAUUUGUCUUUUAAUUGAAGGCUAGUAUGAAUGGUUGGAUGAAAAAUAUACUUUCUUUAUUUUAUAAAAUAAAAUUAAUUUUUUAGUCAAAAAGCUAAAAUGUUAUUAAAGGACGAGAAGACCCUAUAGAACUUUAUUUUCUUUAUAUAUAAAUUUUAUGGUUUAAUAAAAAAUUAUAUAUUGAUGUUAAUUUUGUUGGGGUGACAGAAAAAAUAAUAUAACUUUUUCUAUUUUUUUCAUUUGUAUAUGUUAUUUUGAUCCUAUAUUAUGGAUAAUAAGAUUAAGUUACCUUAGGGAUAACAGCGUAAUUUUCUUUGAGAGUUCUUAUUGAUAGGAAAGUUUGCGACCUCGAUGUUGGAUUAAAAUUA
RNAcentral lists this ribosomal RNA (403 nucleotides) under Agnocoris rubicundus. RNAcentral's name for it is "partial large subunit ribosomal RNA". It matches the Rfam family "Bacterial large subunit ribosomal RNA", at positions 1930 to 2545 of the family's 2925-position model. Lineage: Eukaryota; Metazoa; Arthropoda; Insecta; Hemiptera; Miridae. The record is from RNAcentral.